This 503-nucleotide ribosomal RNA is filed under the name Lasiodiplodia theobromae. RNAcentral describes it as "eukaryotic LSU rRNA". The stretch from base 127 to 280 matches the Rfam family "5.8S ribosomal RNA". Lineage: Eukaryota; Fungi; Ascomycota; Dothideomycetes; Botryosphaeriales; Botryosphaeriaceae. The record is from RNAcentral.
GNUUGGGCUCGACUCUCCCACCCUUUGUGAACGUACCUCUGGUUGCUUUGGCGGCUCCGGCCGCCAAAGGACCUCCAAACUCCAGUCAGUAAACGCAGACGUCUGAUAAACAAGUUAAUAAACUAAAACUUUCAACAACGGAUCUCUUGGUUCUGGCAUCGAUGAAGAACGCAGCGAAAUGCGAUAAGUAAUGUGAAUUGCAGAAUUCAGUGAAUCAUCGAAUCUUUGAACGCACAUUGCGCCCCUUGGUAUUCCGGGGGGCAUGCCUGUUCGAGCGUCAUUACAACCCUCAAGCUCUGCUUGGAAUUGGGCACCGUCCUCACUGCGGACGCGCCUCAAAGACCUCGGCGGUGGCUGUUCAGCCCUCAAGCGUAGUAGAAUACACCUCGCUUUGGAGUGGUUGGCGUCGCCCGCCGGACGAACCUUCUGAACUUUUCUCAAGGUUGACCUCGGAUCAGGUAGGGAUACCCGCUGAACUUAAGCAUAUCAAUAAGCGGAGGAAU